GGGUCAGUAGGUUGGUCGUGCCACCGGUACGUACUGGUCUCACUGAUUCCUCCUUCCUGAAGAACCGUAAUGCCAUUAAUUUGGUGUUGCGGGGAGACAGGACUGUUACUUUGAAAAAAUUAGAGUGUUUAAAGCAAGCUAACGCUUGAAUACAUUAGCAUGGAAUAAUGGAAUAGGACGAUCGAUCCUAUUUUGUUGGUUUCUAGGAUUGACGUA
RNAcentral lists this ribosomal RNA (216 nucleotides) under Glomeromycotina sp. Its description in RNAcentral is "partial small subunit ribosomal RNA". The stretch from base 40 to 216 matches the Rfam family "Eukaryotic small subunit ribosomal RNA", at positions 686 to 864 of the family's 1831-position model. The record is from RNAcentral. Lineage: Eukaryota; Fungi; Glomeromycota.